This 257-nucleotide ribosomal RNA is filed under the name uncultured bacterium. RNAcentral describes it as "partial small subunit ribosomal RNA". It matches the Rfam family "Bacterial small subunit ribosomal RNA", at positions 26 to 285 of the family's 1533-position model. The record is from RNAcentral.
AGAAUCAACGCUGGCGGCGUGCCUAACACAUGCAAGUCGAACGAGAAAGGGGAGCAAUCCCUGAGUAAAGUGGCGACCGGGUGAGUAACACGUGACUAACCUACCCUCGAGUGUGGAAUAACAUCGGGAAACCGAUGCUAAUACCGCAUAACAUCGGCGCUUUUAAGAGAUGCCGAUCAAAGGAGCAAUCCGCUUGAGGAGGGGGUCGCGGCUGAUUAGCUAGUUGGCGGGUAACGCCCACAAGGCGAAGAUCGGUA